UGGGGAAUUUUGGACAAUGGGGGAAACCCUGAUCCAGCCAUCCCGCGUGUGCGAUGAAGGCCUUCGGGUUGUAAAGCACUUUUGGCAGGAAAGAAACGUCAUGGGUUAAUACCCCGUGAAACUGACGGUACCUGCAGAAUAAGCACCGGCUAACUACGUGCCAGCAGCCGCGGUAAUACGUAGGGUGCAAGCGUUAAUCGGAAUUACUGGGCGUAAAGCGUGCGCAGGCGGUUCGGAAAGAAAGAUGUGAAAUCCCAGAGCUCAACUUUGGAACUGCAUUUUUAACUACCGGGCUAGAGUGUGUCAGAGGGAGGUGGAAUUCCGCGUGUAGCAGUGAAAUGCGUAGAUAUGCGGAGGAACACCGAUGGCGAAGGCAGCCUCCUGGGAUAACACUGACGCUCAUGCACGAAAUCGUGGGGAGCAAACAGG
This 429-nucleotide ribosomal RNA is filed under the name Acidobacteriota bacterium. RNAcentral describes it as "Acidobacteria bacterium partial 16S ribosomal RNA". It matches the Rfam family "Bacterial small subunit ribosomal RNA", at positions 355 to 776 of the family's 1533-position model. Lineage: Bacteria; Pseudomonadati; Acidobacteriota. The record is from RNAcentral.